UACGGAGGGGGCUAGCGUUGUUCGGAAUUACUGGGCGUAAAGCGCACGUAGGCGGCUUUGCAAGUUAGAGGUGAAAGCCCGGGGCCCAACUCCGGAAUUGCCUUUAAGACUGCAUCGCUAGAAUCGUGGAGAGGUGAGUGGAAUUCCGAGUGUAGAGGUGAAAUUCGUAGAUAUUCGGAAGAACACCAGUGGCGAAGGCGACUCACUGGACAAGUAUUGACGCUGAGGUGCGAAAGCGUGGGGAGCAAACAGG
Molecule: ribosomal RNA, 253 nt
Filed under: uncultured bacterium
Lineage: Bacteria
Description: partial 16S ribosomal RNA
Rfam family: Bacterial small subunit ribosomal RNA
Source: RNAcentral